This 1368-nucleotide ribosomal RNA is filed under the name Triticum aestivum (bread wheat). RNAcentral describes it as "partial small subunit ribosomal RNA". The record is from RNAcentral. Lineage: Eukaryota; Viridiplantae; Streptophyta; Magnoliopsida; Poales; Poaceae.
AUGACAUAUCGCAAUGCUUGUAUUACUAUUGCCUCAUUAAAAACCUUUCAUGAGAAACCAUCCAGGAAAACCUACCUGGAGAAGCUGUGCGUGAGCCUGUCCAGCGCGUUGUUCGCGUUCCUCAUGCUGGACACCCACAAGUACAGGUCUGCUCACAACAAGAUAUCGUCGCCGCUCUUCCCCGUGCUGCUGUGCUGGGCGCUUGGGUACGUGGUGGCUCAGCUCUUCUUCGGGGUGGUGGAGACGUCGGUGGAGACGAUAAUCCUGUCCUUCUGCCAGGACACUGAGGAGCACGACGGGGAGGUGCAGUACGCUCCCCCUCUGCUCAUGGAGACGCUGGGCGACACGAGCCAGCUGCAGACGCUCACGCAGGGGCCGAAAACCUAUCUGGGGAAGCUGUGCGUGAGCCUGUCCAGCGCGCUGUUCGCGUUCCUCAUGCUGGACACCCACAAGUACAGGUCUGCUCACAACAAGAUAUCGUCCCCGCUCUUCCCCGUGCUGCUCUUCUUCGGGGUGGUGGAGACGUCGGUGGCGACGAUAAUCUUGUCCUUCUGCCAGGACGUUGAGGAGCACGGCGGGGAGGCGCGGUACGCUCCCUCUCUGCUCAUGGAGACGCUUGGCGACAUGAGCCAGCUGCAGAGGCUCACGCAGGGGCCGAAAACCUACCUGGGAAAGCUGUGCGUGAGCCUAUCCAGCGCGCUGUUCGCGUUCCUCAUGCUGGACACCCACAAGUACAGGUCUGCUCACAACAAGAUAUCGUCCCCGCUCUUCCCCGUGCUGCUGUGCUGGGCGCUUGGGUACGUGGUGGCUCAGCUCUUCUUCGGCGUGGUGGAGACGUCGGUGGAGACGAUAAUCCUGUCCUUCUGCCAGGAUGCUGAGGAGCACGACGGGGAGGCGCAGUACGCUCCCCCUCUGCUCAUGGAGAUGCUGGGCGACACGAGCCAGCUGCAGAGGCUCACGCAAGGGCAUGCCUGGCUACAGACCGUGGAAAAGACCUCUACUAGUAGUAGUGUGGAUGGAGUUUCCUUUGUGAUGGGAAAACCUACCUGGGCCAUCCUGGAAAACCUACCUGGGGAAGCUGUGCAUGAGCCUGUCCAGCGCGCUGUUCGCGUUUCUCAUGUUGGACACCCACAAGUACAGGUCUGCUCAAUAUCGUCCCCGCUCUUCCCCGUGCUGCUGUGCUGGGCGCUUGGGUACAUGGUGGCUCAGCUCUUCUUCGGCGUGGUGGAGACGUCGGUGGAGACGAUAAUCUCGUCCUUCUGCCAGGACGCUGAGGAGCACGACUGGGAGGCGCAGUACGCUCCCCCUCUGCUCAUGGAGACGCUGGGCGACACGAGCCAGCUGCAGAGGCUCACGCAGGGGCCGUGA